Molecule: long non-coding RNA, 941 nt
Organism: Carassius carassius (crucian carp)
Lineage: Eukaryota; Metazoa; Chordata; Actinopteri; Cypriniformes; Cyprinidae
Exons: 5
Source: RefSeq, a predicted model, not a curated record
UCAACCUUACUUCCAGCAGAGGGCAAUACAGCAUCAAGAAGCAGUUGGACCAGACAGCCUCCAAAAGAGUUUCUGAGGCCUAUUUCAAUAUUUCUGAUCAAACAACCUCAUAUACACAUACACUGUGUGUAGCUGGCCUUGCCUUGCCUUGUGUUACCGGAUAUCCAUAAAACUUCAGGAAUCUGAGAUAUAUGAAGGUACAGAGCGGGAAGAGAAUGAGAUGAUUGGCUUUGCGUUCCGCCAUGCAAGAGGCAGGGCUGUCACAGAAAGCUGUCCUUUUAGGGACAUAACUGAGGCUGGCAGGAUGGAAUGAGUGGGCGUGAUAGGCUGAUUGUGUCAGAGAACGCAAGACUGACAGGAGUGACAGCUCCAUUUAUCGGCUGCUAGAUUCUAGUCAGCAAAAGGGCAUUCAGGGCCACUGGCUGGCUCUGCUGGCGGCCUGUGCAGCCGGUGCCUGUAAUGCAUGAAGCCCUGGAGUCAUAGUAAACAGCAUCUCUAGUACUUCAGGAAUUUUAUCCAACAUGGAGGAUGAAGAGAUUUCUCCUGAUCUUAAGGCAGCACUGUUGUCCUUUUAAAUUACGCUUCUCCAUAUGCAUGAGCGGAGGGGGGAGAGAAAACUGGCAACCGAGGAAAGAAGUGCCAUGGCGGGGAGUCUAAUCAAGUGACAGACUGCUGAGCGGGCUCAAAACACUAGCUGUCCAUCAGCGAUAGACCAGGAGCGUCACGGUGGAUCGAGCAGGUUGAGUGAGUCACUUGUUCACGUACAACAAAGUUCUCAAAUGGUCUGAACUGAAAUAACUCUGGCCACCAGGAUCGUAGCUUUCAUGCUUGUUUCAUUACCGUCAUAAGAGAAGGUGCCAGUUCUCUUUCAUCCAGCAUGUAAGUGCCUCUUUCUUAGUGUCCGCAACAAAGUAAUUCUUUAGUCAGUUCUAUUUUUGUCU